Molecule: ribosomal RNA, 407 nt
Filed under: uncultured prokaryote
Description: bacterial SSU rRNA
Rfam family: Bacterial small subunit ribosomal RNA
Source: RNAcentral
UGGGGAAUAUUGGGCAAUGGGCGAAAGCCUGACCUAGCAACGCCGCGUGAAGGAAGAAGGCCCUCGGGUUGUAAACUUCUUUGAUCGGGGACGAACACAAUGACGGUACCCGAAGAACAAGCCACGGCUAACUACGUGCCAGCAGCCGCGGUAAUACGUAGGGGGCAAGCGUUAUCCGGAUUUACUGGGUGUAAAGGGAGCGUAGGCGGCUAGGCAAGUCAGAUGUGAAAGCCCAGGGCUCAACCCUGGGACUGCAUUUGAAACUGCUUAGCUAGAGUGCAGGAGAGGUAAGUGGAAUUCCUAGUGUAGCGGUGAAAUGCGUAGAUAUUAGGAGGAACACCAGUGGCGAAGGCGGCUUACUGGACUGUAACUGACGCUGAGGCUCGAAAGCGUGGGGAGCAAACAGG